CCGGUGUGGGCCCACAGCUGAACACUUGUCUAGUUCUUACAAAUCAUUUCCCUAAAAGAGUGAAAACUACCAGACAGCUGCCGCAGUUCAGCUUACAGGGAAAACACAGAAUGUCAUUUUCAAGCCUCCAGCUAGCAAACCAGGAAGCCCUUGUAUGUAACUGCUCUCUUUUCUAAGAUGCUUAAGUCUCCUGUGAACCUGUGUGCCGGAUUGGAUAUCCAAGGAUCUCCUCUUACAGAACUAGUCUGCAGUCACUCAGCAGCUCUUCCCCGUGGGUAAUUAUAUAAUUUCAGUGGAAAUAUAUCAAAAGGGGUUAGAAAAAGAGCUGAGAAAGACCUCCCAUGGGGCAUGUGGGCUUCACCCAAGUGCAAGCUUCUUCCUUCUCCCAAGGCAAGGCCAGCAUGAGAGAGGUGAGAGGAACUCAUUAGAUGCACUCCGAGAUCCUUUCAUUCCAAUGUCUGCAGUCUCUGGUGCAGAGAG
Molecule: long non-coding RNA, 480 nt
Organism: Phyllostomus hastatus (greater spear-nosed bat)
Lineage: Eukaryota; Metazoa; Chordata; Mammalia; Chiroptera; Phyllostomidae
Exons: 3
Source: RefSeq, a predicted model, not a curated record